UGGGGAAUUUUGGACAAUGGGGGCAACCCUGAUCCAGCCAUCCCGCGUGUGCGAUGAAGGCCUUCGGGUUGUAAAGCACUUUUGGCAGGGAAGAAACAGCCUGGGCUAAUAUCCCGGGCGACUGACGGUACCUGCAGAAUAAGCACCGGCUAACUACGUGCCAGCAGCCGCGGUAAUACGUAGGGUGCAAGCGUUAAUCGGAAUUACUGGGCGUAAAGCGUGCGCAGGCGGUUCGGAAAGAAAGGUGUGAAAUCCCAGGGCUUGACCUCGGAACUGCACUUUUAACUACCGGGCUAGAAUACGGCAGAGGGGGGUAGAAUUCCACGUGUAGCAGGGAAAUGCGUAGAGAUGUGGAGGAAUACCGAUGGCGAAGGCAGCCCCCUGGGAUGAUACUGACGCUCAUGCAC
RNAcentral lists this ribosomal RNA (407 nucleotides) under uncultured bacterium. RNAcentral's name for it is "bacterial SSU rRNA". It matches the Rfam family "Bacterial small subunit ribosomal RNA", at positions 355 to 754 of the family's 1533-position model. The record is from RNAcentral.